Molecule: ribosomal RNA, 368 nt
Filed under: uncultured organism
Description: partial 16S ribosomal RNA
Rfam family: Bacterial small subunit ribosomal RNA
Source: RNAcentral
GUAGGGUGCGAGCGUUAAUCGGAAUUACUGGGCGUAAAGCGUGCGCAGGCGGUUAUGUAAGACAGAUGUGAAAUCCCCGGGCUCAACCUGGGAACUGCAUUUGUGACUGCAUGGCUAGAGUACGGUAGAGGGGGAUGGAAUUCCGCGUGUAGCAGUGAAAUGCGUAGAUAUGCGGAGGAACACCGAUGGCGAAGGCAAUCCCCUGGACCUGUACUGACGCUCAUGCACGAAAGCGUGGGGAGCAAACAGGAUUAGAUACCCUGGUAGUCCACGCCCUAAACGAUGUCAACUGGUUGUUGGGAAUUAGUUUUCUCAGUAACGAAGCUAACGCGUGAAGUUGACCGCCUGGGAGUACGGCCGCAAGGUUG